This 451-nucleotide ribosomal RNA is filed under the name uncultured bacterium. RNAcentral's name for it is "partial 16S ribosomal RNA". It matches the Rfam family "Bacterial small subunit ribosomal RNA", at positions 28 to 507 of the family's 1533-position model. The record is from RNAcentral.
AGCGAACGCUGGCGGCAUGCCUAACACAUGCAAGUCGCACGGGGGGGCUUCGGCCUCCCAGUGGCGGACGGGUGAGGAACGCGUAGGGACCUGUCGAGGGGUGGGGGAUAACCGCGGGAAACUGCGGCUAAUACCGCAUGACGCCGCGGCGUGACAGCCGGGGCCAAAGGCGAAAGCCGCCCGCCGAGGGGCCUGCGUCCGAUUAGCUGGUUGGCGGGGUAGCGGCCCACCAAGGCGUCGAUCGGUAGCUGGUCUGAGAGGGUGAUCAGCCACACCGGGACUGAGACACGGCCCGGACUCCUACGGGAAGCAGCAGUGGGGAAUAUUGGACAAAGGGCGCAAGCCUGAUCCAGCAAUGCCGCGUGGGUGAAGAAGGUCUUCGGAUUGUAAAGCCCUUUCGGCGGGGACGAUGGUGACGGUACCCGCAGAAGAAGCCCCGGCUAACUUCGUG